CAGUCGCCGCGGGAAUACGGAGGGUGCAAGCGUUAAUCGGAAUUACUGGGCGUAAAGCGCACGCAGGCGGUCUGUUAAGUCAGAUGUGAAAUCCCCGGGCUUAACCUGGGAACUGCAUUUGAAACUGGCAGGCUUGAGUCUUGUAGAGGGGGGUAGAAUUCCAGGUGUAGCGGUGAAAUGCGUAGAGAUCUGGAGGAAUACCGGUGGCGAAGGCGGCCCCCUGGACAAAGACUGACGCUCAGGUGCGAAAGCGUGGGGAGCAAACAGGAUUAGAUACCCCUGUAGUCCCUGUCUCUUAUAC
This 301-nucleotide ribosomal RNA is filed under the name uncultured bacterium. RNAcentral's name for it is "partial 16S ribosomal RNA". It matches the Rfam family "Bacterial small subunit ribosomal RNA", at positions 509 to 807 of the family's 1533-position model. The record is from RNAcentral.